CAUUCCCUCCCUUGUGUGAAUACCUUCCCUUAUUAUUAUAUUUUAUUCUCCGCCCGUCUGCCUACCAAUAAGCGAAUUCCACUUGCCCUUUCCCUCCCUCCCUCCCUCGCAGCGAGCUCGGAAUAUUUCGUCUUUAAUACAUAUUACAUAUAUUAAACAAACUAUAUUCUAAUAAUAAUAAAGCCAUAUCUCGCGGUCGUGGGAACCCACAACUUCACCCCCAUGCGCAUCGCGCGCACCCAAAAACUUCAAAAAUCUACAACUCCCGAUGGAAAAUGACACCGACGCGCCUACCACAUCACCACCACCACCGCCACCAGAAAACCCAAAGGAACUAACCCCCCAACCUGCUUCGCCAGGCCGUAGCUCAUCGCUCAACCGGGGCCCAAGCCCAAGCCCAAGCCCAAGCCCAAGCCCAGGGCCCCCCGUCGCCGCCGGCGGAAUCGGCUUUAAACGCACCCUACUCAGCUCGUCCUUCUCGCGCCUCUCGUUGUCGCGCGGCGGAAACCUAGGCAGCGCGAGAAGUAGCCCUGAGACUACCAGUGCCGGCACCGGUACGGGCACCGAUGCAGCGCAGGCGCAAGCGCAUGCACAACACAGACCGGAUAAUG
RNAcentral lists this small RNA (611 nucleotides) under Histoplasma capsulatum var. duboisii H88. RNAcentral describes it as "Histoplasma capsulatum H88 hypothetical RNA". Lineage: Eukaryota; Fungi; Ascomycota; Eurotiomycetes; Onygenales; Ajellomycetaceae. The record is from RNAcentral.